RNAcentral lists this long non-coding RNA (6785 nucleotides) under Lactuca sativa (garden lettuce). Its description in RNAcentral is "long non-coding RNA (LSAT_LNC006235)". Lineage: Eukaryota; Viridiplantae; Streptophyta; Magnoliopsida; Asterales; Asteraceae. The record is from RNAcentral.
CAUUUAUAAUUAAAUAAUAAGCACAUAAACACACAUAAUUCACAUAAUACUCAAAUAUUUCAUCUUUAUUACUUCAAAAAGAGUUACAAUAGUUGACCUAGACUAUUACAUUGAAAAAAAUGCUUAGCCCUGAAACCCGGGCGUUACAUCAUCGUUUAACUCAAGGCUUCUCAUCAUCUUUCACCGCUCAACAUCUAUAUCAUCUUUCAUAUACCCAUCUUUACGCAAUAUAUUUAUAGGUAUAAAAAUACAUAUAUACAGUUUAAAUCAAGUAAAACGUGUAUAAAUUGUUCAUCUAGCAUAAAUAUCAGAAACACAGAUAAUAAAAACAUAUAGCAUGUAUUAAUAUUAAAUACUUCAUAUCUAUAAAGUGACGACUCGAAAUUCGGGCAGCGCUUCGCUUCUAACAAUCAUCUUUUCCUUUGACGAAACGUAGUAUCAUUAUUACUAAGUUUUAGUUUUUUAUUUAUUGCGACUAAUUAUUAGCCUAGAUUCGUCAUUAACUCAAAGUCUACUUCAAGAUCUAUCAAGUAAGGGACAACCAAGCAGGAUCAUAUCGGAGGUAAGUUCCGUUAGGUAUACGAAGUAUACUGUUUGGAAAUCCCACUUUAAACACCUCACUAAAUCACAGCCUAGACAUCAUCCCCGUAUGUAGAUCGAUCAGUAUAAUGACUUGGAAUCACCGAUAAAUCUUUUUUAUAGGUUCAUAAUAACAAUAAUGAACUUAAACAUAAGUUAUACUUAAAGUAGGGUAAGCAUAACUCACUUACAAGGGGGGUUUAGCGAGGAACCGAGCUCUAUGCGAGCAGAACUUUUGAGCUGAAAGCUCUUCUUCUCGGAGCUUUUGUGGUGCUAUAAGACAUGCUACUAACACCUAGGAGGUACUAGGGAAAAUCCUUGAGGGUUUCGGGAGUUUAGGAGAGAAAUUGAUGAGAUUGGUGUAGAGAAAUGAGGAAAAACGAGUUCUAUUUAUAGGCUGGCAGUACUCGCGUACGUUGGGCGUACUAGAGUUGUACAUUGGGCGUACUCAGUACGUGGAGCAUACCAAGAGCUACAUGGGGCAUACGCUGCUACGUGUUAAAAUCACAUGUGAAGCCAUGGGGAGGAAGGUGCGGUUGAGAUGGUGCCACGUAUCGCCUCCAGAACUUAACCCUAAAAUUAGUUAUCUUCUGAAUUUCGUAACUUUCACACAUGAGCUCCAUUUUUUACGUUAUUUAUGUCCAUGUGUAGGUAUCAUUGUGAUCUAUAACUUUCAUUUAGAAACCAUCGGCUAUAUUUGACUUUAUUAUUAAAGUUAUAUUUUAACAGACUUGGAAACUUAAAGUCCGUUAAAAUUUUAUAACUUUGUCAUCCGGCAUCCGUUUUUGGCUGUCUUUAUAUUGUUAAGCUCCUAUUAACGAGAUUUUCAAUUCUUUUUUAGGUUGUGUCAGCUAAAAAUCGAUCGAUCUAAACUUCGAUUUUUGGGUUGUGUACUACUAUGCUAAAUCUUAGAAAAAUCAUAACUUCCUUAUACGAAAUCAGAUUUGGACGUUCUCUAUAUGCACGCUCUCGGUUUGACAUAUACUAUGACCUUCAUUUAGAUCACUAAGGCUAAAAAGUAUUUCAUCAAAAAAUCGCUUUUUACAAUACGUAGAGCUGUGCCGAUUUUGUUGCAAAACUUCGACGUGUCAUAACUUCUUCAUUAUACGUCAGAUUUCAGGGUUCUUUAUAUGUACGGAAUCCUUGUGGCAUAUACUAUAAUUUGAUUAAGACUAUUUAUUCUAAAUAUUCUUUUAUCAAAAAGCCAUUUUUAAUGCUUAUUGUCUCUAAAUUGACUAGCUUGGAUCUACGGGCGUUACAAUGAUCUCCCUCUUAGGAUGAUUAUGUCUCGUAAUCAUCAAAAAACAGGUCUUGUGUAAUAACUCCACACGUUAUCUUUUUCAUCCUACUUAACAAACGUAACUCUUAUGUUCUUUCAAACGAGUAUCUAACUCUUGGACUUCUUGACAGCUGGCGGGGCUCAAUCUUGCACCCGCUCUUCAUACUAUGUUAGAAUUUCAAUUGUAACCUUCGAGUUACAAUCUCGAUCCUUAUUGGAGACUCCUGCUUCUUUUGAAAUAGACUUUACUUUGAUUAACGUAACAACCCGAUGGGUCAUGUUCUAAUUGACCACUCAUCGUAUGAUGCAAUGCUUGGACUCAAGUCUUUUUGAGUCAGAUUCCAGAAUGGAAUAUACCUUCCUUCAUGUUCUAAUGUGAUACAAUCACAUUCUAGCAUGUAGCACUUCUAGCUACAAGCUUCUUACUUUAACAACGAUCGCGGUACUUCGAUUGAUCGCUUCGAUUAUCUUUCACUUCAAUCUUCUGGCUUAAGUCAGAUGUUACAUCGAACAACUAGGGUCGGAAUAACAAUCAUCUUCUUAGUCAUUGCCGAAACGAUGGUAACAAUAGACACGCACAAAACAUAAUCAAUUACUAGCGCCUUGGUAACCUUGUGACUUUCCCUAAUCCAAGUGCGAGUCCCGUGCUUCCGGUAGUAUAGGCCUCUACUACCUUUCAUACCUACUUAUACUUGUCCCAAGUAUUGUCUCGCAGUCCACAAGUUCUUAUUUCUUAAAAUCAUAAAAUGAUUUAACACAUACGAAUGUGUCCAAGUAAUCAAAAAAAUUUCUCUAGACUCUACUAGGACUUCUUCCAUACGUAUCUUCAACAAGAAUUCUACUUCAACUUGGUUGGUGAUGGAAACAUCAGAUGAUAGGACAACUUUAGGAAUUACACAAUUUUUGUAUCAUCCUGCCAAUCAAAUGUGUAUAUUCGGAUGUAUCGUAGUCCUCUAGACAUACUGUUAUUUUAUCAGACGUAUUCUAAAGGCAAGAUAUUGCUCUUAUGAUAUCUUCCGAUAGGUAUCAUUCACUAUCGUAAUCCUCCUUGUUUCCUCUAUUUACUCAAUUUAAUAUGAGUGUUCACCAUGACUUUAUGUUCAUGGAAGCACACGUUCAGAUCCAGUUGACAAUAGUCCAUGGAUCCGAUCAAAUAAUAGCAUCAUAAAGCAUAUAAGGCUAUAACAAAAAUCAUUUAGUGCAUAAAAGUAAUUUAGGCAUCUAACACUAAAGUAAGCUAGUGCUUGUGUCAAUUCAGGUGUACUCCCUAAAAUAUAAUAGGCACACUCCUCAUGAUCAUCGCUUAGCAUUCUAAGUUUAAGUUUAGAAAUAAAUCUUUAUUCCUAGUUCGCUAAAACUAAUGCUCUGAUACCAACUGUGACAUUCCCGAAAUUCAAGAUCAUUUUAAAAAUUUUAUUUAUGCUUAUUUAAAAAUCAAAGUAUCCAUUUUAAAGAUGAGUAAAUUAUACGAAUGGUCCCUGUGGUUUGGGGUAAUUUGCACAUUUGGUCCCUAACUUAUUUUUUAACUCGGAAGGUCCGUACAGUUUGUUUUUGUUAUGCGUUUGGUCCCUACUGUUUGUUUUUGUUAUUCGCUUGGUCUCCGUCUUACCUAAAAAAACUAUUAUUUAAAUAGGGAAAGAUGAUGAGAUAGGUAAGGUAAGGUGAGGGGUGUGGUUGGGGGUCUAUUUAUUUAAAUAAAUUUAGAAAUCAAGGUCAAAAUAGUUUUUUUUAAGUAAAAUAGGGACCAAAUGCAUAACAAAAACAAACAGUAGGGACCUUCCGAGUUAAAAAAAUAAGUUAGGGACCAAACGCGCAAAUUACCCUAAACCAUAAGGACCAUUCGCGUAAUUUACUCUUUAAAGAAUAAUAUUGCGAAAUUUGUUCCGAGAACACAUGAUAAAGAUAUUAUCAAAGCAUUUCCAAAGAAAUUUAUUUUGUUUAUAGUAAAACAUUAGGAUGUUAUCGUCAAUACAUAAAUAAAAGCAUAAACAGAUCUUAGAUUCAUUUACACUAAUUAUUUACAUCUUCUUUAAUCUCUCAGUAUAAUGUAUCUUCGUAUCAACACUAUGAUACAAAUAAACUGAGUGGGUUAGGUUGGGAAAUGUAACGCCCGUAGAUCAGGGCUAGUCAAUUUAGAGACGAUAAGUAUCAAAAAUGACUUUUUGAUAGAAGAUUAUCGAGAAGUAUUAAUCUUAACUAAGUUGUAGUAUAUGUUACAAGGAUUCCGUACAUAUAAAGAACGCCGAAAUCCGAGUUAUAACGAAGAAGUUAUAACCUGUCGAAGUUUCAAGACAGAACCGGCACGACACAGUGCGAUGUAAAUAGUGAAUUUACGUUAGAGCGAUAUUUGGCCUUAGCGAUCUAAAUGAAAGUUGUAGAAUACGUUAAACCGAGAGCGUGCGUAAAAAGAACGCCCAAAUCUGACUUCGUAUGAGGAAGUUAUGAUUUUCCGAAGUGUCGACUUAGCAGUAUGCAGCCCAAAUACUCGAUUUGAGAUCGAGCAUUUUUUUAGCCAAAACAAUCUAAACGAGAAUCGAAGAUCUCGUUAUUAGCAGUGCAACGGUAAAAAGACAGACGAAAACGAACGUCAGAUGAAGGAGUUAUGAACUUCUAGCGGAGUUUUCCUGUCUCGGUUUACUAAAAAUAAUAUAAAAAUAAUAUAAUAAAUAUAAAUUCAAAAUUAGCCGAUGAAUUCUAAAUAAAACUUGUAGAUCUUGUUUUUACCUACGCAUCAAUAUAAAGAACUUCGAAAACGGAGUUCGUAUGCGAACGUUAUGAAUUUCUGAAGUUCGGGGCGCGAAACCCCAAAACUGUCAGAGACCAUGACGUGAAAUCAGUGGUCACAACGUGGUAUGUCUUCUGAUGCCUUCUGGAGCAAGUGGACGAUGACGCAUGUAAUGACGCUCAAGCCCACGACAUCAAAACAAUGUUCACGACGUGAAAAUCGAAAAAUCAGCCCUAUAAAUUGAAUCAAAGGGCAGUCGGGUUUUGGUUGCUAAUUCCUUCACUCUAUCACUCCCGAUACCCUCUCUAGUUGUCUUGAAGUUCCCCCGGAGCCCUAGUAUCAUCCCGAGACCCGAAGCGAGUCCCAAAGCCUGAAGAUCCUGAGAAGAAAAGAGUUUCCGAGCCGAAGCUCUGUCCACGAGAAACCCGGUGUGUGAAGAUAUCCCGGUUUCACCAAAGAGUUACUACUUGGAGAGUCGUAGUGUUGUUCGAUAAUCGUAUUAUCAAGUGAGUGUGUAGUUACUUUCUUCUAACACAUAAAUAUGAAGUAUUUGCUAUGAAAUACGUGCUAUGUGUUUAUAUAUUGUUGUUUAUUUGAGAUGAGUGUGGAAUGGAUGUUUUAUAUAGUUUUUAAAUGAGUUAAAUCGUAUAUGUAUUUUAUAUCUACAAAUAUGUUGGGUAGAACAUGGGUAGAUGGAAUAGUUGGUGUGUGAUGAAAGAUGGUAUGAGUAAACCUUGGUGACUAUGGAGUUAGCGCCUAUUGUAUAAACCUUGGUGACUAUGGAGUUAGCGCCUAUUGUAUAAACCUUGGUGACUAUGGAGUUAGCGUCUAUUGUAUAAACUUUGGUGACUAUGGAGUUAGCGCCUAUUUGAUAAACCUUGGUGACUAUGGAUUUAGCACCUAUUGUAUAAACCUUGGUGACUAUGGAGUUAGCGCCUACUGUUGAGUAAACCAUGGUGACUAUGGAGUUAACACCUGAUAACUAUGGAUUUAGUACUUGAUAGAUAAACUUUGACAGCAAUGGACUUCGUGUCAUCCAUUAGAUAAAUCCUUAGGAAUGAAUGGAUGAAGGAUUGUUGAUUCUUAGGGUAAACCCUUAAGAACUAAAGGAGAUAUGGGGAUGGGUGUUUGGGUUGAUUGUUUGAUAAUUGAAUAUAAUAAAUGUAUUAUUGUGGGUUGAAAACCCUAUAUGCUCACCAGGCUCCCAAGCCUGACCCACUCAGUUUUCUUUGUAUCACAGGUAUCGUUGCGAAGACCUAUUUCACUGAGAGAUUAAAAAAGAUGUAAAUCACUAGUGUAAAUGAAUGUAUGAUAUGUUUAUGCUUAUGUGUCUGUAUCGGAACAUGACAUCCCAAAGUUUUAUUAUUAAAUAAAAAUACAUUCUCUUUGAGAAAUGUUUUGAUAAGUUAUUAUCAUAUCUUGUUUUUGGGAACAAAUUCUGUAACCAUUUUCUUUAAACAAUUACUCUGAUUUAUAAAACAAAGCAUAAACAAAUCGGUCUUUUCUGGCCGUGAAAUUGGGGAUGUCACAGGAAACUUGGUGAGUACAUAGGGUUUUCAACCCACAAUAAUAUAAUUAUUAUAUUUAAUCAUCAAACAAUUUACCCAACUUACCAUCCCUAUUAUCUUCUUUAUUUUUAAGGAGCUACCCUAAGAAUCAUUUAUUCUUCAUUCAUUCAUUCAUAAGUAUUGUCCUAAGGAAUAGGUACAAAGUCCAUCGCUUCCAGGGUUUAUCCAGAAGGCACUAAGUCCAUAGAUGUCAAUGUUAUCUAUUAGGCACUAAGUAUAUAGCUGCCAAUGUUAUCUAUUAGGCACUAAGUCCAUAGUUAUCAAUGUUAUCUAUUAGGCACUAAGUCUAUAACUGCCAAUGUUAUCUAUUAGGCAUAAAGUCCAUAGCUGCCAAUGCUAUCUAUUAGGCGCAACUGCUAGGAUAUUUAGAGUACAUCUAGUGAACACGUAGUUCAAAAACACUUAUAGGUUGCGAGCCUGCUAGCGUUCCACUGGACUGUCUACAAUAGUCUAUGGUCAUCAUUUAUACUCUGCUAGAUGAUUGGAUCAUCGUUUAAGUCAAGGCUUCUCAUCACCUUUCACUUAUCAACAUCUAUAUCAUCUUUCAUCUCUCAUCAUCCAUAUCAUCUUUCAUAUACCCAUAUUGACCCAAUAUAUUUAUAGGUAUAAAAAUACAUAUAUACAGUUUAAAUCA